Molecule: non-coding RNA, 1362 nt
Organism: Gasterosteus aculeatus aculeatus (three-spined stickleback)
Lineage: Eukaryota; Metazoa; Chordata; Actinopteri; Perciformes; Gasterosteidae
Source: RefSeq, a predicted model, not a curated record
CAUAGCAGCUCUGUACUGCAUCAAUUCUCAAAAGAUUUUUUUUUUUUUUCUUGUCCCCGGGAACAAGUUGUAUUUCCAAUUUCUGGCAUAACUCAUCUGCCUCCAACAAUAGAACUGACAACCGGCCAGUCACAGAAGAGCGAUGUGGUCACAUGAUGGACAGAGUUGUAUGAAGUGUGCUUUUUGGAUGAGUGGGUGAGAUGACUGAACGUGUGUCUGUCUGGAUGUGAAAGAAUUUGACCUGAGCUUGCUGCUAAUCCUUUCUCUUCCUCUGGAACAUGCGGGAGGUAAUUCAAAUCCAAGAUGUGUGGCGAAGAGGUGGCUGAGGAGACGCUACGUGGAAGAAUCUCCAGUGUACGGACACCCACAGGGAGCGUACGGAGGAUCCGACAGAGCUGCAGUCUCUUAUCGAGGUCUUCUUCAUUCAAAGAAUGAGCGACGAGGCGGAGCUCUAGUUAACGGGAUCGUAAGUCUUCCAGGCAAAUGUGGCAGAACAUUGCAGUCGGGCACCGGCAGGCUGGUGUUGCUGUGCGUCCGCCCGGUUGUUGAUCUCUUUCCCGACAUGAAUAACUGAGCUGCGGUAGCUUCAUUGUGUUUUCUGGUGGCGAAUCUUUUCUGAUAAAUAUCAAUCCCUAAACAACCACAUUUUUUGCUUGAUUUCUUUACUAUAAAUAAAUGCUGGCAAAUUAUUUUUAAUUUCAGCUUGAAUGACAUUGAUUUUAGUUUAAGUUGAAGGUUUUGAGGGAUUUAUCAAGUUAUCUGUUGAAAAUAUGCAAUAUGUUCUUUAAUGCUGCUUUUUAACAUUUUAAAAACACCAAUGGUUCAAAUGACUGUUUAAUGUGAGGAGAGUUGCUCAAUAAUGAAUCCUAACCACACUCUGCAGCCCCGAUCAGCAUUGGUUGUUAUUGCAUAGCUUUGGCUUUCUGCCUAAACGUCCUUGCUUUGGUUCCCACUCAUGGCAGGAAGACCUGCAGGACGUACGAUGGCGACAUAAAGAAGGCGCAGUCACCACAUACAGGGUCAAAUGGUUUCUCAUAACCGUAUAAUAUGUAGACAACUAAGCCUUUUUUAUUCAUUCUCUCAACACAUCCCCUUGGAAUGAUUCAACAGCAAGUGGGGACAAAAAGCAGAUCUUAGCAGACAGGAGGAAGCCUCAAGAUCGACCAUCCCACUGAGGACAAAAUAAAUUAGAGAUAAUCCUGAUUGCUGGGCUGAAAAGAGAAGGCCAGUGAGACGUGGCUGGCAGCCGAGAAGUUUGACCUCGGCGAGAAACUGAAGAGUCCCAAAGGAGACGAGCGCUGUCCAAAAAACCAUCUGAAAAGGAGUGUAUUGGUUAACAAUAAAGUUUACUGGCACCUCUUU